RNAcentral lists this transfer RNA (73 nucleotides) under Danionella translucida. It matches the Rfam family "tRNA". Rfam says of the family: Transfer RNA (tRNA) molecules are approximately 80 nucleotides in length. Their secondary structure includes four short double-helical elements and three loops (D, anti-codon, and T loops). RNAcentral also lists the same sequence under 1 other name. The record is from Rfam by way of RNAcentral. Lineage: Eukaryota; Metazoa; Chordata; Actinopteri; Cypriniformes; Danionidae.
GUUUCCGUAGUGUAGUGGUUAUCACGUUUGCCUUACACGCAAAAGGUCCCCAGUUCGAAACUGGGCGGAAACA